UCCGGUUUGUCACCGGCAGUCUGGCGUGAGUCCCCAACUUAAUGCUGGCAACACGCCACGGGGGUUGCGCUCGUUGCGGGACUUAACCCAACAUCUCACGACACGAGCUGACGACAGCCAUGCAGCAUCUGUGGUGCACCCUCGAAGGUCACACGUUUCCGUGCGCUUGCAGCACCAUGUCAAGUCCAGGUAAGGUGGGGAUGACGUAAGCCUAUCGAGA
RNAcentral lists this unclassified non-coding RNA (220 nucleotides) under uncultured Rubrobacterales bacterium. RNAcentral describes it as "contains 16S-23S intergenic spacer region". Lineage: Bacteria; Bacillati; Actinomycetota; Rubrobacteria; Rubrobacterales. The record is from RNAcentral.